UACGGAGGGUGCAAACGUUGCUCGGAAUCAUUGGGCGUAAAGGGCUCGUAGGCGGUUUGUCGCGUCGGGAGUGAAAACCAGGUGCUUAACACCUGGCCUGCUUUCGAUACGGGCAGACUAGAGUGUGGUAGGGGAGACUGGAAUUCCUGGUGUAGCGGUGAAAUGCGCAGAUAUCAGGAGGAACACCGAUGGCGAAGGCAGGUCUCUGGGCCACUACUGACGCUGAGAAGCGAAAGCAUGGGGAGCGAACAGG
Molecule: ribosomal RNA, 253 nt
Filed under: uncultured bacterium
Lineage: Bacteria
Description: partial 16S ribosomal RNA
Rfam family: Bacterial small subunit ribosomal RNA
Source: RNAcentral